AACGAACGCUGGCGGCAUGCCUAACACAUGCAAGUCGAACGAGACCUUCGGGUCUAGUGGCGCACGGGUGCGUAACGCGUGGGAACCUGCCCUUAGGUUCGGAAUAACUCCCCGAAAGGGGUGCUAAUACCGGAUAAUGUCUUCGGACCAAAGAUUUAUCGCCUUUGGAUGGGCCCGCGUUGGAUUAGCUAGUUGGUAGGGUAAAAGCCUACCAAGGCGACGAUCCAUAGCUGGUCUGAGAGGAUGAUCAGCCGCACUGGGACUGAGACACGGCCCAGACUCCUACGGGAGGCAGCAGUGGGGAAUAUUGGACAAUGGGCGAAAGCCUGAUCCAGCGAUGCCGCGUGAGUGAUGAAGGCCUUAGGGUUGUAAAGCUCUUUUACCCGGGAUGAUAAUGACAGUACCGGGAGAAUAAGCUCCGGCUAACUCCGUG
RNAcentral lists this ribosomal RNA (433 nucleotides) under uncultured bacterium. RNAcentral's name for it is "partial 16S ribosomal RNA". It matches the Rfam family "Bacterial small subunit ribosomal RNA", at positions 29 to 507 of the family's 1533-position model. The record is from RNAcentral.